RNAcentral lists this ribosomal RNA (303 nucleotides) under uncultured bacterium. RNAcentral describes it as "bacterial SSU rRNA". It matches the Rfam family "Bacterial small subunit ribosomal RNA", at positions 775 to 1067 of the family's 1533-position model. The record is from RNAcentral.
GGAUUAGAUACCCUGGUAGUCCACGCCGUAAACGAUGCACACUAGGUGUCGGAGAUUCUGAAUCAUCGGCGCCGCAGGAAAACUACUAAGUGUGCCGCCUGGGGAGUACGGCCGCAAGGCUAAAACUCAAAGGAAUUGACGGGGGCUCACACAAGCGGUGGAGCAUGUGGCUUAAUUCGAAGCAACGCGAAGAACCUUACCCAGGUUUGACAUGCUUGGAUGUGCUCCGUGGAGAACUCGGAGUCACUGCCCUUCGGGGUGAAACUUGCACAGGUGUUGCAUGGCUGUCGUCAGCUCGUGCCG